Molecule: ribosomal RNA, 464 nt
Filed under: uncultured bacterium
Lineage: Bacteria
Description: partial 16S ribosomal RNA
Rfam family: Bacterial small subunit ribosomal RNA
Source: RNAcentral
GACGAACGCUGGCGGCGUGCUUAACACAUGCAAGUCGAACGGAAAGGCCCCUUUGGGGGUACUCGAGUGGCGAACGGGUGAGUAACACGUGAGUAACCUGCCCUUGACUUCGGGAUAACUUCAGGAAACUGGGGCUAAUACCGGAUAGGAAUCCUUGCUGCAUGGUGGGGGUUGGAAAGCUUCGGCGGUUUUGGAUGGACUCGCGGCUUAUCAGCUUGUUGGGGGGUAGUGGCUUACCAAGGCUUUGACGGGUAGCCGGCCUGAGAGGGCGACCGGCCACAUUGGGACUGAGAUACGGCCCAGACUCCUACGGGAGGCAGCAGUGGGGAAUAUUGCACAAUGGGCGGAAGCCUGAUGCAGCAACGCCGCGUGCGGGAUGACGGCCUUCGGGUUGUAAACCGCUUUCAGCAGGGGCGAAGCUUGUGGUGACGGUACCUGCAGAAGAAGCACCGGCUAACUACGUG